Molecule: unclassified non-coding RNA, 3386 nt
Filed under: Leishmania donovani
Lineage: Eukaryota; Euglenozoa; Kinetoplastea; Trypanosomatida; Trypanosomatidae
Description: gene:LdHU3.29.1370(CDS-product:LETM1_and_EF-hand_ domain-containing_protein_1_putative)
Source: RNAcentral
CUUUGAUCGUGACCGCUAGAUAACAUACACACAAAGGAAAAACACAUUACACUCUCAAAAUUCUGAUCAUAGUCACAUACUUCCUCUUUUUUUACACAUCGUAUUCGCACCCAUCGCGAUUCUGCACCACUGCUGCCUCAUUUGCUUGGACUUUUCUCAUCAGCAAGACUUCUGCUGGAUAGCGGGUGGCGGGCAAAUGCUGCGGAAUACCCUUGUACGCCGCGCCAAUGCGCAGGUGGCAAAGUCGACAGCGAAGGUGUCUAGCGCGUCCGCCCAGCGAGUCGCGAAGAAGCCACCAUCAAAGGUGAAGUACUACAUGGGUAUCGCCUACGAGGGCCUGCGCCACGUGUAUCAUGGGUUUCGGCUUUUCUUCAUCAACACACGCUUGGCCUGGAAGUACUCGCGUCAGCUGAAGAAAGGUGUCGCUCUCACGAGACGCGAGCGACUUCUCUUGGAGAGCUCAACUAAGGAUCUAUUGCGGCUGGUGCCGUUUAGCUUCUUCAUUGUGGUUCCUUUUGCCGAACUUCUUUUGCCGGUCGCGUUAAAGAUGUUUCCUGGGCUUAUUCCGUCGACCUUCGAGUCGGAGUCCCAGGGGCGCAACCGCCUGUACGGCGACGCGAUGAAGACACUGCGUGCUCGUCAGCGCGCGAUGGACUACCUGUCUGCCACAGCGUUGGCCACGUUUGACAAGGAGCAGCAGGAGGUGAUCCGACGUGCCGUUAUGGGCGACUCAAUCGCCCCCAAAGACAUCCGUCUGGUGGCGCCGUACUUUGGCCGUGAUGGGCCGUUUAGUGUAUUCAAGGUUCCGGACAACAUCGUAGUUGGUCUCGGUCGGUCUGUUGGGGUCUACAAAUGGUAUCACUCCCUCCUCCCCACACGCGUGUUGUCUCCUAUUAUGCGGCGCUCGAUCAUCCGCCGAUACCACGAGGCUCGCGAGGAUGACCGGCUCAUCCGCCUGGAGGGGCUUGACGGCAUGAACAACGACGAGCUUGUCAAGGCCAACCAAACACGCGGCAUGCGGUGGACAGAGGGAACUGAGACGCUCCGAGUACAGCUGGAGUGGUGGAACUCUCUGGCGCAGGAUGACAGUGUUCCAUACAACACGCUCUGGUGGAUCAAGCCGACUCGGUAUAGCAUUCGUAAGUCCAUGAACAACUUGCCAGUCGAGCAGCGGCGGCAGCUUUUAGGUAUCCAGAAUCUGCCAGAGACGGUUCGUGCGAGUCUCGAAACGUUAUGUGAGACUGUCGACACGAUGUCUUCCAUUAGCGACGAGCCAAACAGCGCAGACAAGCUUGUAGAGAAGAUUGAAAAGAUCACCUCUUCUGCUGAGAAGAGCGACUCUGACAUUGGCUUCGAGGGUCUGCAGGAAGCCGUCGGGGCCUACCUGACGGAAGAAAACGUGAAGAGGAUGUUCGAAAAGUUGAGCAAGAAGAAGCUUCCUGAGGAGAGCGUGGUGGUCUCGGAUGUCAUCGAGUGCAUCGGUCAAGAGACGCACAACUCUAGCCACGUUGUGUCGACAGUGUUUGACGCAUUCGACUACGGCGCCGGCUCAAAGCCCAUCACUGAGAAGGCUCUUUUGGGUAUCGGCGCACGUUGCCGAAAGGCUGUGAGGCCGCCGCCCGCGCCGAAGGCAGCAGAGGAAAAACCAAAGAGUACAUCCACGGAGGAAAAGUCCAUAGAGGCGGCACCGCCUGGCAAGAGGUGAUUACAUGCACGCACUAUCCUUGGAGGAAUCACCUAUAUUAAGCAAAAGAACAAGAACGAAUAAAAGCACCAUCUGCUGCUUCUCUUCGCUUUGUUGUCUUUUAGCUCCUCUACCAAAUGGCUACCGCAUCACACCAGCUCGACCCACUUAAUCUCAUGUGAUAACAUAUCGGUGUGCUCUUUCGUGCGCUCUUUUCGUAGAGCCCCUUCUCCCCUCUCAGCCGCAGUAAGAUAAACGGGGAAAGGCCGAAGACUGGGAAUUCAAAAGACUUUGUUACUUUGCUGUGCUCCUCUUUUCUCGCCCUUCUUUUUUCGCUAUUGCUCCUUUUGCGUCACCCAUGCCUUGCUUCCCCCUUUCCUCCUUUCCUUUGCUGUCUAUAGUUGUGGAUGACAUUGAUGUGAUUGCUGUGAUGUGUGCUUGUGUCUGUGAAUACUUACGAGAGCGUCAUGUAUACACUCCGUCCAACACACCUUUUCUUUUUUUCUUCGAGAGGGAGAGGGAAGAGUCCGAGCACGUGCCCGCGCGCACCGUGGCGCCGCUCGAUUUUGUGUUUUUGUGUACGCGACGUCUGCGGUUCUGGGAGCCACAGACAGCGUGUCGGGCGAGAACAGGGUGACUGUCAGCUGUCGUAAGGGAGUGCUGCGAACUAUCUAUGUCGGUUGCACAGCUGUGGUGUUUCUUGAAUGCGACAGCGGUGAGGAGGUUUCACUUUUGCAGUCCCUACAAGCAUGCCUUGCUGCCCGUCGCGCGUCCAGAAGAAAAAGGCGCUUUGCGCGCUGCAGCAUCUUCCCUCUUGCUCUACCUCUUUCCCUCUUCAAGCCGAAGCUCGGCGGAAUGAGAGCGUUGCGCUUGCUGCUGUUGCGUUGCCAUUGCCGCCAGAUGUGUGGCCCCCCUUUUCGGCCCUCUUUGUGCUCAUUCACCUCCCCCUUCGCGACGGUUGUCGACUGAGUCUGAGCGGACUUGAGCAGCGGUGCCGAAACGGAGACGCGCUCGGAAACUGUGCUGACGGUGAAGUAUCUCGGCACGACGUGUGGUGAAUGCAUGUGUGAUGCCACCACUCCUUGGCCUACCGUUUUCAUCCUUGCUUGCGUUGUGCCUUGGCUUCACUACGCUGCACGUCGCGUACACGUCGCAACCGUCAUGAGACGUCUUCUUUCGCACUCUUCUUUGAGAAAUAGAUGAUGAGGAAUGAGGAUUUUGAAUUGCGACCACUCCUCUCUACAGCCUUAUCUUCUUUUCUGGCGCCUUCUUUGACGUGCUGGGGGAAGGCUAUGGAGCUCAUCCCCUCAACCCCUCUCCUAAACCCCCUUUCUCACUUUCACUAUAAACGCAGUGUUUUGGGUUGCUUUGUGCUGGGUGAGCCUCAGAACAUAGCAAGGAAAAAAGAGCAGAGAUCGAGUGCAGCGCCUCGCUUCUGCUCUCAAGUGCGCGUGUCUUCCCACCUCAUCCUUCGUCCUUGCUGUUGCUCUCCGUUUCUGCGCUCCUAUGGGCAGCUGUAAAGCUAUCUUGCCCCUUCUUCUGUCGCUUUGGUCGAGGUGGAAAGGAGAACGACAGAGAGAGGGACGAUGCACAAAGGAGCAGAGGGCGCCGCACAGAAGGCGCGACAAAGAGCACCGUCUUUCAUUGGCGUGCCGCCUGGUGCGCAUCAUGUUGCGUGUUUCACUUUAACAUAUCUCUUUGU